GAUGGUGGGCUAUGGAGAAUGAGAAUGAGGAACAGAAAAUCAAAGCACAGUGUUCCUUUGGUCUUAACCUAACAGGAUAUUUCAGUUUUCAGAGCCUUAUUUAGGUGCACAUAAUAGUAUUUGUAGAGCACUUUAUGUUUUCAGACACUUUGCAAAAUGAUGUUUGCCCUUCACAAAAAUUUCUUCGUGUCAUGGAAGAGGGAGGUAUUAUCUUUAUUUACCAAAAGGGGGAACUGAGAGCAGAGGUCAUGUGAUUAGCACAAAGUUUUCCAGUGAGGCAGUUGCCAAAACACAGGCAAGAGCCUUGUCUUCCAGCCUUUUUACCUUCUUGAUUUUUUUCCAUAUAAUCUUUUCCUAUGUACUACUGCUCUCUCUCCUCCCACCACACACACACAUAGAGCAUACACACACACACACAUAUGUACGUAUGAAUGUAUAUACAUUCAUACACGCAAAUUCUCUUUAGAAAAUUCUGCUAGGCUGGGAACUGCCUUUUCAAUUCCUGCUCUGUUUGGACCGUGUUUAUCACUACACAUGGCAUAGGAUAAAGGUGAUAAUAGCUAACCAGCUUUUCUGAGUGCUUACAAACGUUGUAACUAAUACCCAUGGUCCUCCUACAAGGCAGGCUACAUGGAAGCUCUCUGAAGCUAAAACAACCCAUUCAAGGUCAUAUAGUGUAUAUGCAGAAGAGCAAGGAUCCAUGGCCAACUUUCUCUGAGUCCAAAUGCCACAUGCAUGGCCUCUGGAACUUGACUGGCUUAGUGCCCAUGCAGUACCUGUCAUCACCUGGGGAUUUGCAAGCCUCAGCAUCAGGAAGCUGCUGAAUCCUCACCACCCCACCCCAUUCUCUAGUCCUAGUCCCGCACUGGACUGAGGGAAUGCUCUUUCACAUUGAUUCCAUCUUGCCUUCCUGAGGACCAGGUGACUUUAGUCAAGGUGUCCAGAAGGCAUGAAGUUAUGUUGGCUCAGCUCUCAGCCUAAGAAGGCGGAGUACUAGGAUAGAAGAGAGGCUCCUGGUCACUGCCAAGUUCCCUUGGGUCAGCAUAUGGCCAGUGUAUGUCCAAGAGUUACCUCUGCCAGCCUAGGCAUGUCCUAAGCAGACGGUCUCAUGUGAUGUCUUCUGAAAGUCAAGGUGGAGUGCAAAAAGUCAUCAGAACUAGGGUUCCUUGGCUGCCUGGCUUUAGGCAUCCAUAUGCCUACGACUGAAGGACAUAGGACAUUCUGUGACAUCUUCAAGGCCCUGGGACAAGACUGAUGCAUCUUCCUGGGGCAAGUGGAGGAAAACAGCACAGACUUCUUCAGCCACAAUUAGGUAAAAUGCCUAAUUCCCCUUUAGGAGAAAUGUUGUGCCAAGUGGGAAUUAGGUCUACUGAUUCAGUAAAAAAAAUUAAAAAAAACCCAGAAUGCUAACACAGGAGAGGCUUGCAGGACCCAUGAAAAGUGCUGCGAUAGAGGGCAACCUUGUCCUAGCUCCUCUGUAUGGUAUCUUGCACCCACCAAAACAAGGGAAAAGCCAUCUUGCCCCCACAAGCUGAGUGAUACCAGUGGUCAUCAAAGAAAUUGAGAACAUGCUGGGUUAGGAAGGGCAUGGUCCUCAAUCUGUUGCAUGGAUUAUACUCCUGGACCUGGAACAAUGAAACCAAACUUCACUUCAGAGAUUAGCAAACUUCAGUCUUGGGAAGAGUGCUUCCCAUGCUCGGCUCACCUUUAGUUUUCUGUAUUUUCUACAUUGACGUCAUCUCUUUGAUUGUUAGCAAGCUUCUCAAGGUCAGGGGCAGUCUCUCCAAUUUCUUUGUGUCUUGCUAGCAAAACACAGGCCAUGGACAUCCCAAGACACCUUCCACGAGGGCUUCUGAGUGUCAGAGAUGGAAUGGUGGCUGUGACAGGGACUGCCUUGGGGAGGUCCCCCUCCUGUCUUCGCUUCUAUGGGUCUUUGUUGUCCACUGUAAGAUGGAGCUCUCUCUCAAAGACCCUCCUGGCUCUAAGCAGCUUGCUUCUUUGAAGAUGAGACAGCGUGGCCUCAGAUAAAGAGCACUGGACUUGGAAGCAGAUGGGACGUUUGAACGGUUGCAGUAUCAUUUAAUCGUCUGUUUUUUCAUGCCUCAGUUUCUUCACCUGUAACUGAGAAACAAUAAAAUGGGCCUUCUUUACGUUAGAGGGUGGGGGUGAAACAUAAUUCAGGCACCAAAUAUGCCAACACUUGUACAUCACAGAAGUAAACCCAUCAGGGAGUAGCCAUCCAUGGCUGGAUGAGAGACCUGAAUGGGGUCUAUGGACAUGGAAGCCCACAAAGUUAAGGAAUUGCACUGAACAAACAAAAAGGUGGUGGGUUCAGAUGGUAUGGCGUGGGAACAGGCGAGAGAAGAGCGAGAAGCAUCUUCCCCGUAAACAAUGCAAGCUUUAGACGUCUUGGCUGUUAAUUACAUGAAGAGACCAAGAGACUUGUAAGCCCAUCUGCUACAACGGGGAGGAUUCCAUACGGCUGAAAUCUGAUUCUGGAUCUUGGAGAGUGGGUUAAGUAGAUGCAGCCAGGCAGGAGCACUGUGAGCAAAACAAUAGGAAGGUGCAUCUGUAUCGUUUGUAGCCACUUUCAAAGCACUUAGGCACACAUCACCCCGUUUAAUGCGUAUACCCGUGUGAAGGAGGUAUCAGGUUCUCAUUUUUCAAAUGGAGAAACUGAGACUCAGGGGGGUUAAGUCAUUUCCUCGAAGUCACACAAUUAAUAAACAACUGCUGCCAAAUUAAGGUUUUCUGACCUCCAAUUCUUUGCUUCUUCCAAGUUUGGAGAAAACUCUCGUUAUGAAAUUUACUGGAUUCACUAAAGGAAAAAAAAAUCAAGCCCUCUUUGCUUCUUGGGAAGGAGCUCUGUGGUCUUCCUGUUGCACUGCCAGGCAGCUUUACCGCCUCCAUGUGUACAAAACCUCUGAAAAUGUUUUAAAUGUCAAUGCUUGUGAUCCAAGUAGAUUGCAAUACAAAUGGUGAAGAUGCACAGAAUUAGAUCAUGAAUUUAAAGUUACAGAAGCACCAUUGCCUUUGAUUCUAGGGCUGUACCAGGGGGCCAUCCACACAAGGGACAUGAGUAUCGUUUGACCAGAAUCUGGGAGUUUUAGAGGACUCCUGGAGCCUGUGUGCAAAUGCAGUGUCUGUCCCUGAGUAGAACAUUGGCCCAGAGCAGCUCCCCAUUUGGUGUCUAAACCAGACGUGGUCUGCUGGCGUAACAUCUCAUUUCUCCACCUUGGAUGUGUGCUUGAAGAUAGUUAUUGGGUCUGCUAGAGGGGGCAUCCUCUCAGGAAGGAUGGGGAAGGUGGUGCUUGGCUGAAUGUCAAAUGCAAGUUGCAGGGACAAGCCCAACCUCAGACAGGUGUUCUCCCACGUACACCCAUAUGCUUCAUGGACCGAUUCUGGGGAGAGUUGCUGUGGCUUGUCCCUUUAAACAAGAGGAAAGGCCUAACAUAUUCCAGUGUUAUGAGAUUCUCGUAUAUGUAUUUUUCCCGAGGUGCAGGGAAGAUGGUUGGGAUCAAGUUGAAGUCAGGCAAUGUGGAUGCUCCCUUCCAGAAUCUUCUACCCUAUUUAUCAGUUGACUGUGUUCAGAGGAUUUACCCUGUUCCUGUGAUGUUUUCUCCCCCAAAUGAGGGGUUUUAACUCUGAAUUUUUUGGUUGAUACCUGGAAAAUCAUUCAAACUCUCUGGUCUUGACCCCUGCCUCUCUUGAUUCCAAAAGGCGUAGAAAAUGACAGUCAUCCCUACCUAUCAACAGAGCUUCUGUGAGGACUAAUAAAACGUUGAGC
This 3787-nucleotide long non-coding RNA is filed under the name Sus scrofa (pig). RNAcentral describes it as "lncRNA (ENSSSCG00000056583.1)". The record is from RNAcentral. Lineage: Eukaryota; Metazoa; Chordata; Mammalia; Artiodactyla; Suidae.